UAUUGUGCUUGAAUUUUGUGCCAAAUUUCAAGCUGAAGUAAAUUCAUUUACUAUAGCAAGUAAAUAGAAAUCAGUGGUAGAAAUGUAAAGAAACGAGAAAAAAGAGAGGAAGUAGAUGACCUAAUCUACUGGCACCCUGGCCUAUUUAGCAAAAAUCGGCCCAGCUAGCCCCACACGCCCUCCUCUUCUCGCUACAGGAGGCUGGGAUGGCCGUGGCGGCCAUCCGCCGGCCGUGGCCACUUGCGUGGCGGCCAUCCGACCCCUCCCGGCGUCCUACUCGACCUACAAGUCCUCCCCGAAGCCCCCGUGACGAACCCUAGCGCCCCAAGUGCAUUCCCCCUUUUCCCCUUGCUAGAUCCGCCCACUCCCGAUAGCCUUCGCCGCUCACCGCCGUCGAUCCCGCGCUCUCCGACGACCCCGAGCCCCCGCGAGAUGUCACGGAGCUUAGCCGCCCUCCGCUGCGUCGCCUGAGCCGUGCCACUGGAGACGACGGGCUCGGCAUCGAGCGGAUCGAGCUCGUCUCCGUCUUCUGCGUCGCCGGUGACCGCCGCCGUCUUCGUCAUCCCCUGCUGCUACAAAGCUGUCGAGGGUCUUUCUUGGCCGCUCGGUGAGCUCCUCUCUCCCUCCAUUCCUUCUUCCCGUGGCCGCAUUCGUCCCUAGCUAGUUCGCUGCCGUUGCCGUGCCUCUGCUUCCGCCGGCGUGCUCGAAGUCGUGCCGUUGCUCUGCGUCGAGCUCAGAUGAGCUCGGGAUCGUGCUCAUCACAUCCGUGCGGGCCCGUUGCACCCCUCCCUCGCGCUCUGUCGAGCCCUGUAGCGCUCAGUUCCAGCCACAGCAGCAUCUCGCACCACCGCCAUUCGACGCGACGUCGUCCGGCCGUUCGAACGCACCCUGCCCGCGCCCUCACGCGCAUGUGCCCGGGCUUGUCCGCGGCCCGGCCCUGCCGCCACGACCGCGCCCUGCUGCUAUUGCCGCUUGCCACUGCUGCUUGCGCCUCCGCCGCUUGCUUGUACUGCCGCUGCUACUCUGCAUACUGCUGCUGUGGCCUGAUGCUGCCACUGCCGCUUGCCGUCGCCCACCGCGGAGCCACUGCCGCAGCCGCCCCGCGCUCGCGCACCGCGUGCCCGCACUGCCGCGCUCGGCGCUGCUCCCCCUCGCCUGCCGUUGCGGCUGCCCCGCCUACGCACGCCUGCAGCGCCCGAGCCAUGCCACUGCCCAACGCUGCUCUAUUGUACUACUACUAUCUACUGUAGCUGCUACUAGUUAGCUUUUGGUUUUCUACGUUGGCUAAGCCCCUAAACAGCGAAAAUUCGUUGGCGUGCACGAGCUCGCCUGCUCACGUUAUCUGUAGGCGUCGGUCCUCGUCGGGAUAUGGAACACACAUCGUAUUCCAGCUCGUAAACGACAGCUCAUUUAAUGGUUGACGCUAACGGGAAGAAACAUCGUUUGUAUGGUGCCGGUGACGGACGUUGAGGUGCUAGCGACUCAACGUGUAUCCCUGCCAGACUGAAUUCCGCUCAGGAUCGGCCUACCUACUCCAUUUAACUCCUCAUCUGUCAUCGGCGGCGGCUCAGUCUAUAACAAUCCAUCCCCAAAUCGAAGAAAGAAAUCCUAGUUGCACACUGUUCCUCAAUAGAUCCCCAAGUCGGAGCAAGGAAUAGCAGUCGCAGAAAAGUUAGCAAAUCUGAAUCAAGGUGCUGAUCCGGCGGCACUUCCAAUCGUGCCUUGUCUGGACUGUGGCAGGAACGUAGUCGCCUACCUUGAUCGUGGCAGGCCGAACGCCGGCGAGUGAUUCUACAAGUGCCGCAAUCAAAAUCCGUCAGGUGGUGGAUACGAUUUCUACAGGUGGCAGCAAACGUACGCCGACCACCUCACGUCCCUUGGUCCAGCCGCACCCCCAUUAGCGCAAAUCGAGCCAGGAUAGGAGCAAGGCGGCCAAGCUUUGGGAGUUCAAGAUUCAGGUGCCGCACGCACCACAGGGUAGCAGAACGGCAUGCCGGACGGCACCCAGUUCGUUUCUUCAGUCAGCGCCGCUGCAGGAUACAUGCUCGCCGCGCUUCCAGCUGCUGGGCGCCAGGGAGCCAUUGCCGUUGACGGUGCAUCCAUUAAUCUGGUGGUCUCCGUGGCCAACCUCGUCAUUGGCGUGGCAUUCCUUUUGUUGGUUGUGGCCGACAUGGUCAUGAACAUGCUUGGUUAGGCGUCAGCUGCCAAUAAGGGAGCACGACGUACCAUUGUACUCGCAAAUCAAGUAUUAUGACAUUUGUAUCAUAGGUUAGCAGCCAAGUAUGUAAUGGUGUAGGCGCAGCGGGUGUUGCUGAUGGCGUACUUUUGUAAUGAUCGAGUUUAAGCCGUGUGAUGUACUCUCGUUUGUGCAACUAAUAUUAAUGAAAGUCUGUUUUUAACUAA
This is a long non-coding RNA of Triticum aestivum (bread wheat), 2403 nucleotides long. RefSeq lists it as uncharacterized. The record is from RefSeq and is a predicted model, not a curated record. The transcript is spliced from 2 exons. Lineage: Eukaryota; Viridiplantae; Streptophyta; Magnoliopsida; Poales; Poaceae.